GCCUCCGUAGCUCAGUUGGUUAGAGCAGCUGACUCUUAAUCAGCGGGUCGUAGGUUCGAGUCCUACCGGGGGUA
This 74-nucleotide transfer RNA is filed under the name Rhodothermaceae bacterium. RNAcentral describes it as "tRNA-Lys". It matches the Rfam family "tRNA". Rfam says of the family: Transfer RNA (tRNA) molecules are approximately 80 nucleotides in length. Their secondary structure includes four short double-helical elements and three loops (D, anti-codon, and T loops). Further hydrogen bonds mediate the characteristic L-shaped molecular structure. tRNAs have two regions of fundamental functional importance: the anti-codon, which is responsible for specific mRNA codon recognition, and the 3' end, to which the tRNAs corresponding amino acid is attached (by aminoacyl-tRNA synthetases). tRNAs cope with the degeneracy of the genetic code in two manners: having more than one tRNA (with a specific anti-codon) for a particular amino acid; and 'wobble' base-pairing, i.e. permitting non-standard base-pairing at the 3rd anti-codon position. Lineage: Bacteria; Pseudomonadati; Rhodothermota; Rhodothermia; Rhodothermales; Rhodothermaceae. RNAcentral also lists the same sequence under 3 other names. The record is from RNAcentral.